AGCAGCCGCGGUAAUUCCAGCUCCAAUAGCGUAUAUUAAAGUUGUUGCAGUUAAAAAGCUCGUAGUUGAAUUUCGGGAUCAGUUGAUCGGUCGUGCCUCGGUACGUACUGGUCAAAUUGAUUCCUACCUUCUGACGAACCACGAUGUCAUUAAUUUGGUGUCGUGGGAAAUCAGGACUGUUACUUUGAAAAAUUAGAGUGUUUAAAGCAGGCUCGCGCUUGAAUACAUUAGCAUGGAAUAAUGAAAUAGGACGUUUGAUUCUAUUUUGUUGGUUUCUAGGAUCGACGUAAUGAUUAAUAGGGAUAGUUGGGGGCAUUAGUAUUCAAUUGUCAGAGGUGAAAUUCUUGGAUUUAUUGAAGACUAACUACUGCGAAAGCAUUUGCCAAGGAUGUUUUCAUUAAUCAAGAACGAAAGUUAGGGGAUCGAAGACGAUCAGAUACCGUCGUAGUCUUAACCAUAAACUACGCCGACUAGGGAUCGGAUGAUGUUAAUUUUUUAAUGACUCAUUCGGCGCCUUACG
Molecule: unclassified non-coding RNA, 520 nt
Filed under: uncultured Glomus
Lineage: Eukaryota; Fungi; Glomeromycota; Glomeromycetes; Glomerales; Glomeraceae
Description: SSU rRNA
Rfam family: Eukaryotic small subunit ribosomal RNA
Source: RNAcentral